This 460-nucleotide ribosomal RNA is filed under the name uncultured bacterium. RNAcentral describes it as "partial 16S ribosomal RNA". It matches the Rfam family "Bacterial small subunit ribosomal RNA", at positions 355 to 803 of the family's 1533-position model. The record is from RNAcentral.
UGGGGAAUUUUGGACAAUGGGCGAAAGCCUGAUCCAGCAAUGCCGCGUGUGUGAAGAAGGCCCUUCGGGUUGUCAAAGCGACUUUUGAUCCGGAAAGAAAAUCCUUGGCUCUAAUACAGUCGGGGGAUGACGGUACCGGAAGAAUAAGCACCGGCUAACUACGUGCCAGCAGCCGCGGUAAUACGUAGGGUGCAAGCGUUAAUCGGAAUUACUGGGCGUAAAGCGUGCGCAGGCGGUUUGCUAAGACCGAUGUGAAAUCCCCGGGCUCAACCUGGGAACUGCAUUGGUGACUGGCAGGCUAGAGUAUGGCAGAGGGGGUAGAAUUCCACGUGUGAGCAGUGAAAGUGCGUAGAGAUGUGGAGGAAUACCGAUGGCAAGGCAGCCCCUGGGCAAAUACUGACGCUCAUGCACGAAAAGCGUGGGGAGCAAACAGGAUUNGAUACCCUGGUAGUCACGCCCU